GGCUCAGGAUGAACGCUAGCUACAGGCUUAACACAUGCAAGUCGAGGGGCAGCAUUGGGAUAGCUUGCUAUUCAGAUGGCGACCGGCGCACGGGUGAGUAACGCGUAUCCAACCUUCCUGCCAGUAGGGAACAGCCCGGCGAAAGUCGGAUUAAUGCCCUAUGUUCUUCAAUGCGGACAUCUAAGUUGAAGGAAAGAUUCAUCGCUGGCAGAUGGGGAUGCGUCCGAUUAGCUUGCCGGCGGGUAACGGCCCACCGGGGCGACGAUCGGUAGGGGUUCUGAGAGGAAGGUCCCCCACACUGGUACUGAGACACGGACCAGACUCCUACGGGAGGCAGCAGUGAGGAAUAUUGGUCAAUGGGCGUAAGCCUGAACCAGCCAAGUAGCGUGCAGGAAUGACGGCCCUACGGGUUGUAAACUGCUUUUAUGCGGGGAUAAAGUGCGGCACGUGUGCCGCUUUGCAGGUACCGCAUGAAUAAGGACCGGCUAAUUCCGUGCCAGCAGCUGC
This 507-nucleotide ribosomal RNA is filed under the name uncultured bacterium. Its description in RNAcentral is "bacterial SSU rRNA". It matches the Rfam family "Bacterial small subunit ribosomal RNA", at positions 21 to 518 of the family's 1533-position model. The record is from RNAcentral.